UUUCUUCAACACCUUACAAGGUCCCAACUUCUUAGAUUUCAGCUUCUUGUAAGUUCCUUUAGGAAAUCAUUCUCGUCUCAAAUGCAUAAGUACUUGAUCACCUUCUUCAAAUUCCUGCAUACGAUGCUACUGAUUGGCAGUAAAAGAAUAUGCUGCAUUGUUGGCUUUUAGGGCAGCUUUUACUGUUCAUAAAUCUUUCAAAUGUGAUUAGCAAAUGCUUCCCCUUCAUCACUUUAGCUUCUUGUGGCAAGGCUACCAAAUGAAGCACAUGUUGAGGUUUCAACCCAUAAGCAGCUUCAAAAGGUGUCUUUGAUGUAGUGGGAUAGUGGUGCUAUUAUAUCUCAACAAUUAGGGUUAAAAUAGGGUGAUCGGGGUUGGAACAAUAGAAAGUGAUUAGAUUUAAAGAAAACUUGUGAAUUAAAAUUCUGAAUUGAAAAA
This 438-nucleotide unclassified non-coding RNA is filed under the name Hevea brasiliensis (rubber tree). Lineage: Eukaryota; Viridiplantae; Streptophyta; Magnoliopsida; Malpighiales; Euphorbiaceae. The record is from RNAcentral.